UUGACCUCGAAUCAGGUAGGAAUACCCGCUGAACUUAAGCAUAUCAAUAAGCGGAGGAAAAGAAACCAACCGGGAUUACCUCAGUAACGGCGAGUGAAGCGGUAACAGCUCAAAUUUGAAAUCUGGCUCCUCUGGAGUCCGAGUUGUAAUUUGUAGAAGAUGCUUUGGGUUGUGGGUUCGGCCUAAGUUCCUUGGAACAGGACGUCAUAGAGGGUGAGAAUCCCGUAUGCGGCCGAGGCCCGCGCCUAUGUAAAGCUCUUUCAACGAGUCGAGUUGUUUGGGAAUGCAGCUCAAAAUGGGUGGUAAAUUUCAUCUAAAGCUAAAUAUGGGCCAGAGACCGAUAGCGCACAAGUAGAGUGAUCGAAAGAUGAAAAGCACUUUGGAAAGAGAGUUAAACAGUACGUGAAAUUGUUGAAAGGGAAGCGCUUGCACCCAGACUUGGGCGCUGCUGAUCACCUUGCGGUCUCCGCGAGUGCACUCGACAGCGCACAGGCCAGCAUCGGUUCGGGUGGCUGGAUAAAGGCCGUAGGAACGUAGCUCCCUUCGGGGAGUGUUAUAGCCUAGGGUGCCAUGCAGCCCAGCCGGACCGAGGACCGCGCCUUCGGGCUAGGAUGCUGGCGUAAUGGGUGUAAGCGACCCGUCUUGAAACACGGACCAAGGAGUCUAACAUCUAUGCGAGUGUUUGGGUGGUAAACCCAUACGCGGAAUGAAAGUGAACGUAGGUGA
RNAcentral lists this ribosomal RNA (726 nucleotides) under Erysiphe palczewskii. RNAcentral describes it as "eukaryotic LSU rRNA". It matches the Rfam family "Eukaryotic large subunit ribosomal RNA", at positions 1 to 738 of the family's 3401-position model. The record is from RNAcentral. Lineage: Eukaryota; Fungi; Ascomycota; Leotiomycetes; Helotiales; Erysiphaceae.